UACGUAGGGGGCAAGCGUUGUCCGGAUUCAUUGGGCGUAAAGAGCGUGUAGGCGGCCAGGUAGGUCGGUUGUGAAAACUGGAGGCUCAACCUUCAGAGGUCGACCGAAACCAUCUGGCUAGAGUCCGGGAGAGGAGAGUGGAAUUCCUGGUGUAGCGGUGGAAUGCGCAGAUAUCAGGAGGAACACCGGUGGCGAAGGCGGGUCUCUGGGCCAUAACUGACGCUGAGGAGCGAAAGCGUGGGGAGCGAACAGG
Molecule: ribosomal RNA, 253 nt
Filed under: uncultured bacterium
Lineage: Bacteria
Description: partial 16S ribosomal RNA
Rfam family: Bacterial small subunit ribosomal RNA
Source: RNAcentral